RNAcentral lists this ribosomal RNA (468 nucleotides) under uncultured bacterium. RNAcentral's name for it is "partial 16S ribosomal RNA". It matches the Rfam family "Bacterial small subunit ribosomal RNA", at positions 28 to 507 of the family's 1533-position model. The record is from RNAcentral.
GACGAACGCUGGCGGCGUGCUUAACACAUGCAAGUCGAACGGUAAGGCCCUGCUUUUGUGGGGUGCUCGAGUUGCGAACGGGUGAGUAACACGUGAGUAACCUGCCCUUGACUUUGGGAUAACUUCAGGAAACUGGGGCUAAUACCGGAUAACAGCUCCUGCUGCAUGGUGGGGGUUGGAAAGUUUCGGCGGUUGGGGUUGGACUCGCGGCUUAUCAGCUUGUUGGUGUCGUAGUGGCUUACCCAGGCCUUGACGGGUAGCCGGCCUGAGAGGGUGACAGGCCACAUUGGGACUGAGAUACGGGCCAGACUCCUACGGGAGGAAGCAGUGGAGAAUAUUGCGCAAUGGGCGGAAGCCGGAUGCAGCAACGCCGCGUGCGGGAUGACGGCCUUCGGGUUGUAAACCGCUUUCGCCUGUGACGAAGCGUGAGUGACGGUAAUGGGUAAAGAAGCACCGGCUAACUACGUG